UUGACAAAAAAACAGGGUGGCGCAGUAUUCUAGUCAGUACUGAUGAUUCUGAAGACGGGCCUAAAAAUCCGUUUAAGGGCACAUCGAUGAAGUUCCUUGUGUCGGCUUGCUACGCCCAGUGGUGGGUUGAUGCUGGGAGUUAAGGCUUAGGGGCGAUCCGCAAUGGCAUGCGGGCGUUGACCCCUUUUCCGUGGAGACCCUUACUUGUGGAAGAAAAGUCAAGCUUUUGCUUGCCACCUCGACUACGAAAAGGGAUUAAACCUGUUAUGCGGUGUCUUUAUGAUGGCUGUGAACAGUGUAGCCUGCCUUGAGUGAAAUCCGGUGAAUAACGGAUCAGAUGCUUCAUGUAUUGGCCGAUAUAUAAGCAUUAUUGCUGUUUGAAACCUUUUUUGCAAAAGAGGCUAGGAAUCAUUUUGACUGCUGGGGAAAACCCCUAGACUGUUCUUAAAAGUGGUUUAUUGGGGAUUAAAGUGUGGACUAAGUGGUAAUCAGGCCCCGUAAACGGAGACGUACGGUGAUGUGUUUAAAGGGAAACCACUGGUUUGGCGACAUUCCAGCACAUGUCAGGGAAAUCCUGCCUGACCUAAGCCGCAAAAUUUACUCAAUAAACUGCCACCUGUUUUUCUAAUAAA
This 632-nucleotide small RNA is filed under the name Clostridium sp. BNL1100. Lineage: Bacteria; Bacillati; Bacillota; Clostridia; Eubacteriales; Clostridiaceae. The record is from RNAcentral.